AGAACCUGUGCUGUGGCAGGCACUGUUCAGUGCAGCGUGGGUACAGUGGGCCCCAAAGAAAGUCCCCGUCUUCGCGGAGCUUCGGUGCUAGUGAGCAACUAACUCUUUGAACAACUCUGUUACAAUCAUGAGGAAACAGCCUUAGGUUAAUUAACUUAUCAAAAUUGCAGAUUUUGGAAACUGUGAAUUUAGAGCCCGUGCUUUUUCUGUUCUCCCAGGCUUUUUGGUGAGAGUGGAUAAAUUCUCCAAGCGGAGUCCAAGUUCUGCACUCUAAGCAAUUGUCUUUGAUGCCACCCCCUCCAGCCUGUCCUUCUUGAGCUGUGUUGAAAAGGAAAUGGAGUACAGUUUAUUCAUCUAAUAAUUUUUUUUUCUACAUUGUGCUAAGUAUUCUGCUAGACUUUGGGAAUUUGGAGGUUAAAAAAAAAAAAAAAAAAAAAAAACACUAAGCCUGUGGGACUUUUGGUUUUUCUGAGGUUUAUACUUUUCAUGGAGCAAACAUUUAUUGAGCAUAUUGUUGAGCCCCAGGCAUCAUGGUGUGUUAGUCAGCUUUCCAUUACUAUUACAGAAUACCUGAAAUAACCUAAUAAGGGAAAAGAUUUAUUUUGGCUCAUAAUUUUAAUGAAUGGUUGAUUGGCCCCCACUGCCUUUGGGCCUGUGGUGGGAAGUUGAGGUGGAAGAAACUGCUCACUCAUAGCAACUAGGAAGCAAAGAAGUAGAUUAAGGGGCAGGAGUCCCAAUGUCCUCUGUACACCAUUCCCCAAUGACUUAACUUCCUUCAACUAGGUCUCACUAACUAUCAGUAGUGCCAUGGGCUGGAGACCAAGCUUUACCACAUGGUACUUUGAGGGACAUUUCAGAUCUAAAUUAUGAGCAGGAUAAGUGCUGCAUCUGUAAUGAAUUGUAGGAAAGAUUUAAUCCAUCUCUUGAAAAAGCACUCUUAGGUCAUGAAACCGUAAGCCACAAUCCUAAGAUGAUAAUAAUAUCUUGCAAUUAUUAACAGUUUAUAAAACAUUUUAAUAUACAGUAUCUCAAUGGAUCAUUGAAGAAGGUAUUGUCCUCACUUCAUAGAUAAGAA
Molecule: long non-coding RNA, 1075 nt
Filed under: Marmota monax (woodchuck)
Lineage: Eukaryota; Metazoa; Chordata; Mammalia; Rodentia; Sciuridae
Source: RNAcentral